RNAcentral lists this ribosomal RNA (427 nucleotides) under uncultured archaeon. RNAcentral's name for it is "bacterial SSU rRNA". It matches the Rfam family "Archaeal small subunit ribosomal RNA", at positions 44 to 473 of the family's 1478-position model. The record is from RNAcentral.
UUAAGCCAUGCGAGUCGAACGAGUUUAGGCUCGUGGCGUACGGCCCGGUAACACGUGGAUAACCUACCCUUAGGACCGGGAUAACCUUGGGAAACUGAGGAUAAUACUGGAUAGGCAAUUAUUUCUGCAAUGGUUUUUUGUUUAAAUGUUUUUUCGCCUAAGGAUGGGUCUGCGGCCGAUUAGGUAGUUGGUUAGGUAAAGGCUUACCAAGCCGUUGAUCGGUACGGGUUGUGAGAGCAAGAGCCCGGAGAUGGAACCUGAGACAAGGUUCCAGGCCCUACGGGGUGCAGCAGGCGCGAAACCUCCGCAAUGUGAGAAAUCGCGACGGGGGGAUCCCAAGUGCCAUUCUUAACGGGAUGGCUUUUCAUUAGUGUAAAGAGCUUUUGGAAUAAGGGCUGGGCAAGACCGGUGCCAGCCGCCGCGGUAA